Molecule: long non-coding RNA, 1225 nt
Organism: Suricata suricatta (meerkat)
Lineage: Eukaryota; Metazoa; Chordata; Mammalia; Carnivora; Herpestidae
Exons: 4
Source: RefSeq, a predicted model, not a curated record
GGGCGCGUCGUCCCCUCCUCCGGCCCGGCCCUGGCUCCUCCUCUCCCACCGGCGCCGGGGAGGGGUCGAGGCCAGCCCGGAGGAGAGGGGGCGGGGCGGCGGGGACGCCUGUCCGGGGACCGAUCGCCGCGCCGCGCAGCGGCCCCUGCGGGGGAGGAGAACGGAGGGGUCGGGAGGCGACUCCGGGAUGGAGCCCCUCCCGGGGGGAGAGCGAGGACCAGCCCACCCCGCCCCCCGCCCCGCAGAUCAGGUGCUGGCGGAUCUGGCGGCGCCGGGCCCCGCGCCCCCGCACAGGCGCCCAGGGGGGCCGAAGGAAGGGUGGAGGGGUCCCCUGCCCCCGAAGCCGCCGGGCUGCCCCGCCCGCAGCGCCACGUCCUUUAGCCGCUCCUCGUGACCUCAGCACCGCUUCACGGAGGAGUUUUCAGACUUGCCAAGGUCAAGGCCCUCAGACAACGCUGUUACGAGUGCGUGGUGAAAUCCCUCUGGCGAAGAGUCUGUAUCUCCUAAAUCUGAACGUACACCUGCCUUGUGACCCAGCAAUUCCACUGCUAGGUUCCUGCCCAAUAGAACUGAAGUCGGAAUGUCCAUAUUCGUUAUUCAGAACAGGAGGUCAGUCGUGUGGCAUAUGAAUUAUAUUCAAAUAAUAAAGAAUAACACCAGAUCAGACGAUGAUAGAGCCACAGGAGAAUGUUACGGAAACCCAGGACACGCGGAGCUCCCUCCGCCUGCAGAGCAGACUGCGAACAGCCUCCCGGAAGAGAUCCUACUCCAUCUUACAGGCUAUCCAUGCGUGGUGGCAGAGGCGGUCUCCAGGACCUCUAGGGUUCAAUCCUGCCAAUUGCUUCAGAAAAUUCAGUGACUUUUCAUGGCGUAUCAUUGGCUCGGCUUGGGACCCAUACCCACCGUCCCUGGACCAGUCCCUGUGCGUAUGGACAUGAAAGCUGCUGAUUGGUCAAGCACAGAGCCAGAGGGUGGGGAUAGUGUACCUGAGCGGUGUCGGAUAAGAAUGGAGGGAAAGGAAUCCUCAGUGGACAAGUGAGGGACUCUUCCGGAGGGGAGGAUGGAUGUUGAGUAGACCAAAUAAUAAUAAUAAUAAUAAUUAAUAAACCGAUGUUUAGUUUGGGACCAGGAAGUUGGUAGUGGCAGUAUUCCCUCACGCUGGAGAAAUGUAGUCAUCUAAUAACGCUGAUAUUAAAAAUGUUCUCUUUUUAAUACUUCAAUUUCA